This 565-nucleotide ribosomal RNA is filed under the name uncultured Glomeromycotina. RNAcentral describes it as "SSU rRNA". It matches the Rfam family "Eukaryotic small subunit ribosomal RNA", at positions 548 to 1114 of the family's 1831-position model. The record is from RNAcentral. Lineage: Eukaryota; Fungi; Glomeromycota.
UUGGAGGGCAAGUCUGGUGCCCGCAGCCGCGGUAAUUCCAGCUCCAAUAGCGUAUAUUAAAGUUGUUGCAGUUAAAAAGCUCGUAGUUGAAUUUCGGGGUCAGUAGGUUGGUCAUGCCACUGGUAUGUACUGGUCUCACUGAUUCCUCCUUCCUGAUGAGCCGUAAUGCCAUUAAUUUGGUGUUGCGAGGAAUCUGGACUGUUACUUUGAAAAAAUUAGAGUGUUUAAAGCAAGCUAACGCUUGAAUACAUUAGCAUGGAAUAAUGAAAUAGGACGUUCGAUCCUAUUUUGUUGGUUUCUAGGAUUGACGUAAUGAUUAAUAGGGAUAGUUGGGGGCAUUAGUAUUCAAUUGUCAGAGGUGAAAUUCUUGGAUUUAUUGAAGACUAACUACUGCGAAAGCAUUUGCCAAGGAUGUUUUCAUUAAUCAAGAACGAAAGUUAGGGGAUCGAAGACGAUCAGAUACCGUCGUAGUCUUAACCAUAAACUAUGCCGACUAGGGAUCGGAUGAUGUUAAUUUUUUAAUGACUCAUUCGGCGCCUUACGGGAAACCAAAGUGUUUGGGUUC